Molecule: long non-coding RNA, 207 nt
Filed under: Mytilus galloprovincialis (Mediterranean mussel)
Lineage: Eukaryota; Metazoa; Mollusca; Bivalvia; Mytilida; Mytilidae
Source: RNAcentral
GUCCUGGCAAUAUCACAAGAACCAUUACUGAUGAAUGGUGAACGUGAAAAUCGUCAAUAUCAAAUUUGACCUCCAUUUUGUCAUCAGUAUCAACAUCUUUAAAUUUGAAAAGCUUAGAUUGAAUGGUUCAUGAGUAAAUGCAACAACGUGAAUGGAAACGCCAUUUCACAAUCUUUCAAGAACCAUAUCUCCUGAACGGUAAAAGUC